CAAAUGAAUUGACGGGGCCGCACAGCGGUGGAGCAUGUGGUUUAAUUCGACGCAACGCGAAGAACCUUACCAGGGUUUGACAUCCCUGACGGCCGUGGAAACACAGAAUUCUAUUUUCGGAUAGACAGGGAGACAGGUGGUGCAUGGUUGUCGUCAGCUCGUGUCGUGAGAUGUUGGGUUAAGUCCCGCAACGAGCGCAACCCCUACGUUUAGUUGCUAACGGGUGGAGCCGAGCACUCUGGACGAACUGCCGUUGACAAAACGGAGGAAGGUGGGAUGACGUCAAAUCAUCAUGCCCCUUAUGUCCUGGGCCACACACGUGCUACAAUGGCCGGUACAGAGGGAAGCGAAGCCGUGAGGCGGAGCAAAUCCCAAGAAGCCGGUCUCAGUUCGGAUUGCAGGCUGCAACCCGCCUGCAUGAAGUCGGAAUCGCUAGUAAUCGCAGGUCAGCAUACUGCGGUCGAAUACGUUCCCGGGCCUU
Molecule: ribosomal RNA, 481 nt
Filed under: uncultured Pelotomaculum sp.
Lineage: Bacteria; Bacillati; Bacillota; Clostridia; Eubacteriales; Desulfotomaculaceae
Description: bacterial SSU rRNA
Rfam family: Bacterial small subunit ribosomal RNA
Source: RNAcentral